GGGUGUUUCGGCAGGUGGUGUCAUGGCGUCGGCCUCGGAUCGCAGCUGAGUCGCGGGCGGCGCACGCAUGCGUUUUGGAAUGGAAAGGAGGGCCGCGUAGACAGGCAGCUCGGCUUGCGAGAGAGUAAAAGUCGGUGUGCCAUUGGCAGCCAUGCACGUAGGUAGAGGAUAUCUGAAGGAGAGACCGCGUCGCUGCGCGAGUGUCUCGAAAGGACGCGGUCGACGCGAUGACGCGACUUAAAGAAGGUGUGCGAUUCAAAACAGACCGAGUGUUAUCGCCGAAGGGAUACGCCGGGAAAUGUCACAGCGCGUGAAAACGCGUUCAUUUGUUUUUUUUUUCCAUCAUCAGAAAGCUAGGAAGUGCACCAAACGACGAAGAAUCAUCAUCACCGGCAUCAUCAUCAUCAUCAUCACCAUCAUCAUCAGCAGCAGCAGCAGCUUCUUUGUGCUUGUUUUUUUUCUCUUCAAACGAUGGCUUCGUCGUCUCUAUCAGUGUUUAACGGUGGCAAUGCGACGAUGCAAUAUCGUAAGCUGGCUCUGAACCGUUAGAGGCUAGAUCAACGACGCCUCGUUCGUACGGUUUCGUUUCGGAAGAAAACGAAGAAAAUAAGAACGAAAAAAAAGAAAACAGAAAGAAACAAGAAACUGUGACGUAUUUUGUUACACGGGAAUUAUUCGACGACGAACUUCCGUUCGAGAUGGAAGGGAAGUCCUGCUGCUCUUCGGGCUUUGUUCCGUAAUUUUUCUUCCGACUAGCGAGACUGAUCCUCGGAAGAAACGAUGAGAAACAAACGGCAGAACAAGAACAGGCACAAAAAACAAGAAAGAAAGACACACCGCAGCCACCUCCGAAACAUAACGAGAAUUACUAUAAUCUAAUCUAUAUAGAACGUCGAUAAUAAUCCACCCUGUUUAACAAUAUAAACAAUACACAAAGGACAACGUUGAAAACGAUGAAACAUCUUCGCCACUGUGUCAUUGCUCCUCGAACGAUGAAGACGACGAUAAACGAUACAGUUAGAAGUUGCAAUCUGACACGUAUUUUGUCCGAUGUUGCUAAUAAAAUAUCUAUCUAAUAACAGUGAUUUUAAUAACACAAAGUUUGAAAGGAUUAAUGAAGAAGCGAGUAAAAAUUAACACACAGUAAAGUGUUUGUCAAAGGAUUAAAAGGAUGAUGUAUUACGUCGCAGUAGUAGAGUGUUCGCGCAAGCUGCGUAAAGCUGAAAGACUGAUCUCGGUAAAGUUCGGUAAAAUGAGGGAAUAAAAGAAACGAAGGAAAAAGAAAACAAAAAAAAAAAAAAAAAAAAACCAACGGAAACUCGCGUUACAAGGACGAUGAAAAACUGCACAAUUUCCCGAAAUAUGGGUGAAAUUGCGUGAAAACUUUACGAUAUAGGAACAAGUUUUUUCGGUGCGUAUGUGCGUGGUGGCCGGUACUCGUGUGUGUCGCGAUAUGUUAAUAUAAUUGUGUAAAAUUGACGAGCGUGUGCCCCGCAUAAAUAAGAUAAUGAAAAAUCAAUCGUACGAAUAGAAGGCGAAGCCCGUUCCUCGUACCUACUUGGCACUUGCACACUUGUUUAAUAAGAAGAUUAGUAGCGAGCAGCUGACCGCGCAGCGAUUCCUCUGCCAGAUCCUAAUAUCUUUGUCAUCUUCGUUACACGCCCGAGAGUCACGCAACGCAGAGCAAUGGCUAUUCCGUAGCUUUGUCGAGACAAAACCCGAAGUUUUCCCAUCCUCAACCCUCAACCCUCAACCCCUCGCCUUUCUGCUUUUUCUUCCGUUUUUCUCCCUUGUUUCUCAACGCCGAGCCCGAGUCGAGACGUGUAACAGUUUUUCUUUUUAUCUCGCUCGCCUCUGUAAUUUUUUUUUUUAUAAUCUGGCGUCUAUCUGCCGCACGAUUAAUACUUGGAUCAUAGAAACGGAUUUAAAUGUGUAAUAACUGAACUAAAUAUCUAACAAAGACGGCACGAGGAAAGCAUAAUUAAUAUAAUCGGUGAUAAUUAGUAUGUAUGUACCUACCUGCUAUCAUCAUCGGAUACACGAACUUCCGACGUGUUAUUGUACCUUGUGUAUACACGUUGUUACAAAGAUGCUGAAGUGGAUUUGACUGAUUGACCGAUUGAUUGAUUGAUUGAUUGAUUGAUUGAUUGGUUAAUCGAUUGUACACUCGUCUGUAUAUCUAUCCAUUUAUCUUUAUAUCUACUUAUCGAAUAUCUACACCUUUAAUGUACACCUAUACGUACGAUAUAAAUUACCUAUAAUCUAUUGAAAAUGAAAUGAAGAAGUAAAAACGAAAACGG
Long non-coding RNA from Diprion similis, 2300 nucleotides. RefSeq lists it as uncharacterized. The transcript has 2 exons. The record is from RefSeq and is a predicted model, not a curated record. Lineage: Eukaryota; Metazoa; Arthropoda; Insecta; Hymenoptera; Diprionidae.